UACGUAGGGGGCUAGCGUUGUCCGGAUUUAUUGGGCGUAAAGAGCGUGUAGGCGGCCAGGUAGGUCUGGUGUGAAAACUCGAGGCUUAACCUCGAGAUGUCAUCGGAAACCAUCUGGCUAGAGUCCGGAAGAGGAGAGUGGAAUUCCUGGUGUAGCGGUGAAAUGCGCAGAUAUCAGGAAGAACACCAAUGGCGAAGGCAGGUCUCUGGGCCACUACUGACGCUGAGAAGCGAAAGCAUGGGGAGCGAACAGG
This 253-nucleotide ribosomal RNA is filed under the name uncultured bacterium. RNAcentral describes it as "partial 16S ribosomal RNA". It matches the Rfam family "Bacterial small subunit ribosomal RNA", at positions 524 to 776 of the family's 1533-position model. The record is from RNAcentral.